RNAcentral lists this ribosomal RNA (492 nucleotides) under uncultured bacterium. RNAcentral's name for it is "partial 16S ribosomal RNA". It matches the Rfam family "Bacterial small subunit ribosomal RNA", at positions 28 to 507 of the family's 1533-position model. The record is from RNAcentral.
AUUGAACGCUGGCGGCAUGCUUUACACAUGCAAGUCGAACGGCAGCGCGGGCUUCGGUUUCGCUGCGAGUGGCGAACGGGUGGGUAAUGCAUCGGUACGUGGCCAUCUGCGGGGGAUAGCGCGGCGACAGCGGGAUUAAUACCGCAUUAGACCAUAGGGCGUAAGGGGGGAGGCGGAAGGUCUUGCGACCUUGCGGUGGCCGAUGACCCGAUGUCGGAUUAGCUAGGUGGCGGGGUAAAGGCGCACCAAGGCGACGAUCCGUAGCUGGUCUGAGAGGAUGAUCAGCCACACUGGGACUGAGACACGGCCCAGACUCCUACGGGAGGCAGCAGUGGGGAAUUUUGGACAAUGGGCGCAACCCUGAUCCAGCCAUACCGCGUGCGGGAAGAAGGCCUUCGGGUUGUAAAGCGCUUUUGUUGGGAAAGAAAUCCUGUGGGCUAAUACCCCGGGGUGAUGACGGUACCGGAAGAAUAAGCACCGGCUAACUUCGUG